This 253-nucleotide ribosomal RNA is filed under the name uncultured bacterium. RNAcentral's name for it is "partial 16S ribosomal RNA". It matches the Rfam family "Bacterial small subunit ribosomal RNA", at positions 524 to 776 of the family's 1533-position model. The record is from RNAcentral.
UACGUAGGCAGCGAGCGUUGCUCGGAAUUACUGGGCGUAAAGAGUGUGUAGGCGGUGCUCUAAGUUCGGUGUGAAAUCUCCUGGCUUAACUGGGAGGGUGCGCCGGAAACUGGGGUGCUCGAGCGUGGGAGAGGAAAGCGGAAUUCCUGGUGUAGCGGUGAAAUGCGUAGAUAUCAGGAGGAACACCUGUGGUGUAGACAGCUUUCUGGACCAUUGCUGACGCUGAGACACGAAAGCGUGGGUAGCAAACAGG